This 1297-nucleotide ribosomal RNA is filed under the name uncultured bacterium. RNAcentral describes it as "partial 16S ribosomal RNA". It matches the Rfam family "Bacterial small subunit ribosomal RNA", at positions 94 to 1399 of the family's 1533-position model. The record is from RNAcentral.
AGUGGCGAACGGGUGAGUAACACGUAGGUAACCUGCCCAUGUGCCCGGGAUAACUUCUGGAAACGGAUGCUAAAACCGGAUAGGUAGCAGACAAGCAUUUGACUGCUAUUAAAGUGGCUUUGGCCAUGAACAUGGAUGGACCUGCGGUGCAUUAGCUAGUUGGUGAGGUAACGGCCCACCAAGGCGACGAUCAGUAGCCGGACUGAGAGGUUGAACGGCCACAUUGGGACUGAGAUACGGCCCAGACUCCUACGGGAGGCAGCAGUGGGGAAUAUUGGGCAAUGGGCGCAAGCCUGACCCAGCAACGCCGCGUGAAGGAAGAAGGCUUUCGGGUUGUAAACUACUUUUGUCAGGGACGAGUAGAAGACGGUACCUGACGAAUAAGCCACGGCUAACUACGUGCCAGCAGCCGCGGUAAUACGUAGGUGGCAAGCGUUGUCCGGAUUUACUGGGUGUAAAGGGCGUGUAGCCGGGAGGGCAAGUCAGAUGUGAAAUCCACGGGCUCAACUCGUGAACUGCAUUUGAAACUACUCUUCUUGAGUAUCGGAGAGGCAAUCGGAAUUCCUAGUGUAGCGGUGAAAUGCGUAGAUAUUAGGAGGAACACCAGUGGCGAAGGCGGAUUGCUGGACGACAACUGACGGUGAGGCGCGAAAGCGUGGGGAGCAAACAGGAUUAGAUACCCUGGUAGUCCACGCUGUAAACGAUGAAUACUAGGGUGUGCGGGGGACUGACCCCCUGCGUGCCGCAGCUAACGGCAAUAAGUAUUCCUCCUGGGAGUACGAUCGCAAGGUUGAAACUCAAAGGAAUUGACGGGGGCCCGCACAAAGCGGUGGAUUAUGUGGUUUAAUUCGAAGCAACGCGAAGAACCUUACCAGGUCUUGACAUCCCGAUGACCGGCCCGUAACGGGACCUUCUCUUCGGAGCAUUGGAGACAGGUGGUGCAUGGUUGUCGUCAGCUCGUGUCGUGAGAUGUUGGGUUAAGUCCCGCAACGAGCGCAACCCUUAUCCUCAGUAGCCAGCAGGUAAAGCUGGGCACUCUGUGGAGACUGCCAGGGAUAACCUGGAGGAAGGUGGGGAUGACGUCAAAUCAUCAUGCCCCUUAUGAUCUGGGCUACACACGUGCUACAAUGGCGUAAACAAAGGGAGGCAAAGCCGCGAGGUGGAGCAAAUCCCAAAAAUAACGUCUCAGUUCGGACUGCAGUCUGCAACUCGACUGCACGAAGCUGGAAUCGCUAGUAAUCGCGAAUCAGAAUGUCGCGGUGAAUACGUUCCCGGGUCUUGUACUAACCGCCCGUCA